CCUACGGGAGGCAGCAGUGAGGAAUAUUGGUCAAUGGACGAGAGUCUGAACCAGCCAAGUAGCGUGAAGGAUGACUGCCCUAUGGGUUGUAAACUUCUUUUAUAUGGGAAUAAAAUGUUCCACGUGUGGGAUUUUGUAUGUACCAUAUGAAUAAGGAUCGGCUAACUCCGUGCCAGCAGCCGCGGUAAUACGGAGGAUCCGAGCGUUAUCCGGAUUUAUUGGGUUUAAAGGGAGCGUAGGUGGAUUGUUAAGUCAGUUGUGAAAGUUUGCGGCUCAACCGUAAAAUUGCAGUUGAAACUGGCAGUCGUGAGUACAGUAGAGGUAGGCGGAAUUCGUGGUGUAGCGGUGAAAUGCUUAGACAUCACGAAGAACUCCGAUUGCGAAGGCAGCUCACUGGACUGCAACUGACACUGAGGCUCGAAAGUGUGGGUAUCAAACAGGAUUAGAUACCCGUGUAGUC
Molecule: ribosomal RNA, 460 nt
Filed under: uncultured bacterium
Lineage: Bacteria
Description: partial 16S ribosomal RNA
Rfam family: Bacterial small subunit ribosomal RNA
Source: RNAcentral